GACGAACGCUGGCGGCGUGCCUAAUACAUGCAGGUCGUGCGGACCUUGUUGAAAGCUUGCUUUUAAAAGGUUAGCGGCGGACGGGUGAGUAACACGUGGGCAACCUGCCUGUAAGACUGGGAUAACGCCUGGAAACCGGGGCUAAUACCAGAUCGUUUUUUCCUCCGCAUGGAGGAAAAAGGAAAGGCGGCUUCGGCUGCCACUUACAGAUGGGCCCGCGGCGCAUUAGCUAGUUGGCGGGGUAAUGGCCCACCAAGGCAACGAUGCGUAGCCGACCUGAGAGGGUGAUCGGCCACAUUGGGACUGAGACACGGCCCAAACUCCUACGGGAGGCAGCAGUAGGGAAUCUUCCGCAAUGGACGAAAGUCUGACGGAGCAACGCCGCGUGAGUGAAGAAGGCCUUCGGGUCGUAAAACUCUGUUGCCGGGGAAGAACAAGUGCCGUUCGAACAGGGCGGCGCCUUGACGGUACCCGGCCAGAAAGCCACGGCUAACUACGUG
Molecule: ribosomal RNA, 500 nt
Filed under: uncultured bacterium
Lineage: Bacteria
Description: partial 16S ribosomal RNA
Rfam family: Bacterial small subunit ribosomal RNA
Source: RNAcentral